ACGGCCAUACCACAUUGAAAAAACCUGUUCUCGUCCGAUCACCGAAGUUAAGCAAUGUCGGGCCCUGUCAGUACUUGGGAGGGUGACCACCUGGGAACACCGGGUGCUGUAGACU
RNAcentral lists this ribosomal RNA (115 nucleotides) under Cordylochernes scorpioides. Lineage: Eukaryota; Metazoa; Arthropoda; Arachnida; Pseudoscorpiones; Chernetidae. The record is from RNAcentral.